This 197-nucleotide non-coding RNA is filed under the name Solanum tuberosum (potato). RNAcentral describes it as "rRNA LSU_rRNA_eukarya". It matches the Rfam family "Eukaryotic large subunit ribosomal RNA", at positions 1174 to 1379 of the family's 3401-position model. Lineage: Eukaryota; Viridiplantae; Streptophyta; Magnoliopsida; Solanales; Solanaceae. The record is from Rfam by way of RNAcentral.
CUUGGUUGGUACUAAGAACAUAGUCAUUCCACAAAGGGUGUUAGUAGAUUAAGACAACAAAAGGGCGGUCAUAGAAGUCAAAAUCCUCUAUGGAGUUUGUAUCAAAUCAACUGCCGAAUCAACUAGCCCCUAAAAUGGAUUGCGCUUUAAGCGCUUGACCUACACCCAAGCGUCGCGGCAAGUGCGAGGCCUCGAUG